This 90-nucleotide microRNA precursor is filed under the name Olea europaea subsp. europaea. Lineage: Eukaryota; Viridiplantae; Streptophyta; Magnoliopsida; Lamiales; Oleaceae. The record is from RNAcentral.
AUCUGCUUGACUCCUUUAAUGCCAAGUAGGAAGUCGUCAAAUGUGGAUAUUGGCAAGCUUCUUAUAUGGCAUUCAGGGAGCCAGGCAGAG